UAAAUAUGGACGUCUCAACACUUCUUCUGUGUCUGUGGACGUUCAGUACGGCCCAAAGAACCCCUCAGUGUCAGUCAGUCCCUCUGGUGGAAUAGUGGAGGGCAGUUCAGUGACUCUGACCUGCAGCAGUGAUGCCAACCCUCCUGUGGACAAAUACACCUGGUACUUUCAAAAUGAGACUUUUCUAAAUGGAUGUGGACAGAUGUACAACAUCAGUAACUUCAGGUCUGAGGACAGUGGACAUUACCACUGUGAGGCCUGGAAUAGAAGAGGAUCUAGGAACUCUACAGCUCUGAUGAUCAUUUUACCAGGGAAACAAACCUCAGUUCAGACUGCAGCUGUAGGAAUCAUAGUGGUUGUUCUGGUUCUCAUCCUCUGUUUCUCUGGACUCAUGUGGUUCAGGAAGAAGGCCUCCAAAUCCACCUCUGACACAAGAGACACAUCAGAGAAUGUACAGGGAGACUCUAGUCCAGUGUAUGAAAACGUCUCAAGCAUGUCCACAGCCCCUACUGCAGCACAGACAGCAGCCACCGUCCACCAGGACGAUGUUCACUACUCCAGUGUCCACUUCUCUCGCUCCAAAAACCAGGAAGUGCCUCUGUACUCUACCGUCCAGAUGCCUCAGCCCCAGAAAGAGGAAGAGGAUGUCCAGUACGAUGCUGUGAAAUUCAACCUCCCCAGUGCUGCCAACCAACCCACGGCAGCACAAGCAGCUGAGGAGGACUCUUCUGAGAUCUAUAGUAGAGUCAACAAACCCAGAAGACCUGAACACAACAAACCCAGAACCAAAAAGACCUGAAUGCAACAAACCCAGAACCAAGAAGACCUGAACGCAACAAACCCAGAAACAAGAAGACCUGAACGCAACAAACCCAGAACCAAGAAGACCUGAACGCAACAAACCCAGAACCAAGAAGACCUGAACACAACAAACCCAGAACCAAGAGGACCUGAACACAACAAACCCAGAACCAAGAGGACCUGAACACAACAAACCCAGAACCAAGAAGACCUGAACGCAACAAACCCAGAACCAAGAAGACCUGAACGCAACAAACCCAGAACCAAAAAGACCUGAACGCAACAAACCCAGAACCAAAAAGA
Oncorhynchus tshawytscha (Chinook salmon) is the source of this 1104-nucleotide long non-coding RNA. Lineage: Eukaryota; Metazoa; Chordata; Actinopteri; Salmoniformes; Salmonidae. The record is from Ensembl.